GGCCUCGUAGUACAAUGGAUAGUAUAAGGGUUUCCGAAGCCCCAGAUCCCAGUUCGAUUCUGGGCGAGGCUACAA
RNAcentral lists this transfer RNA (75 nucleotides) under Bacteroidota bacterium. Its description in RNAcentral is "Bacteroidetes bacterium tRNA-Arg". It matches the Rfam family "tRNA". From Rfam's summary of the family: Transfer RNA (tRNA) molecules are approximately 80 nucleotides in length. Their secondary structure includes four short double-helical elements and three loops (D, anti-codon, and T loops). Lineage: Bacteria; Pseudomonadati; Bacteroidota. The record is from RNAcentral.